Molecule: non-coding RNA, 898 nt
Organism: Misgurnus anguillicaudatus (oriental weatherfish)
Lineage: Eukaryota; Metazoa; Chordata; Actinopteri; Cypriniformes; Cobitidae
Source: RefSeq, a predicted model, not a curated record
UAAGUUUGCAAGACCACAAUAGACAAACAAUGGAAAAUGAUCUAGGUUCAAAUAAAACACAAUUAUCAAUGUAAAACAUAUCCUGUAAUACACACAGGUUGCUUUAUGUCAUGAGCCUGUUCUAAUUCUAUCUUCAUUCCCACUUGUAGAGUGCUCUGACAGAUAAAACUGACACGCUUGAUGAGGACACAGUCAAAGCUUUAAAAGACCGUGUGAUAAAGCAGUCUUCAAUUACUACGGUGUCUGAAUUGCAAGAAGAAUUGACCCUCCACUUAAACAUGUGACAUCUAAACUGUUUUGUGUUUUAGUUCAGCUUUUUAUAGGUUUAUCUUAAGUUGUUUAAAGGCGAAGUGCACUAUUUUUGAAAGCCAAUGUUAACAUUUGAAAUUACCUAAACAAACAUGCCUCUACCCCAAUAGAAUCUGGAUCUUCUUUUGAUAGAGCCACCACACACAUACGCAACCCCGGCAAGGAUGUCUGUUAGUAGACAUGCCCCUUACUGCUGGUUGGCUACAAGUGUGUUUUGGUAGUCGGCCCAAUUUCCUUUUCCAAAGCGUUUUUCAAACAUUGUGCACUCCGCCUUUAAAUUGCACUUAAACAUUUUUUUUCUCAGUAACUUUUUAUGCAGAGAAUUACAUUAUGAUUAUUAUAUAAUCAUUGCUUAUGAAUAUUCAGUGAUUGCAUAUUCAUAGUGUACUUUUCAUUAAUACAUUUAAUGUUAAUGUUGUACAAUUUGAUAGAAGUAGCUCUGUAAUUGCAUUUCUAUGAUAUUUGUUUUAUAUUGUUUCUCUUUGGUCAAGAGAUUAUGUAUGUCUCUGUGCUUGCUUAAUUUACUUUAGAUAUUUUUGUAAUGUACACAACACAAUAUGAAGUAUAUUAAAUUGUUCUGUAUUCAAAA